UUUUUAAUUUUCAAAGUCUACUGACGGUGAUCCUGUUGUUGAUAUGUACCUGUGCAUAUCUACGGUCUAUAGCCCCAUCACUUCUGGACCGACACAAGACAGGAUUAAUGGGCACCUUUUGGAAAUGUGCAAGAAUAGGUGAGA
This is a long non-coding RNA of Pomacea canaliculata, 144 nucleotides long. RefSeq lists it as uncharacterized. The transcript is spliced from 2 exons. The record is from RefSeq and is a predicted model, not a curated record. Lineage: Eukaryota; Metazoa; Mollusca; Gastropoda; Architaenioglossa; Ampullariidae.